UUUUUUGUCGUCAUAACUUAACCUGUAUGGGCAAAAGCUUUUGCCUUCCAAUAUAAAAGGAGAAUAAAUAAAAAAUCAUAACAUAACCUUAAAAAAAUAUGUCAAAAACACAAUGACAAAAUAGAUAUUAUUUACAAUUCUCCUUAAGAUAAAUAUAUAAAAAGAAGUAUAAAUGAACAUAUUGAAUCACUUCAAGUAGAAACUACAUAAAAGCUAUUUUUAUCAGGUAUUUCAUCGCCAGCAAGUUGCCAACACUUCCGGCGGAUGUGCGAGAGGAGAUACAACGGCAUCCGGCGCUAUUCUCGUAAUAAAAAUGUUUGUUUGUU
Long non-coding RNA from Manduca sexta (tobacco hornworm), 326 nucleotides. RefSeq lists it as uncharacterized. The record is from RefSeq and is a predicted model, not a curated record. The transcript has 2 exons. Lineage: Eukaryota; Metazoa; Arthropoda; Insecta; Lepidoptera; Sphingidae.